This 428-nucleotide ribosomal RNA is filed under the name uncultured Entrophosporaceae. RNAcentral describes it as "SSU rRNA". It matches the Rfam family "Eukaryotic small subunit ribosomal RNA", at positions 459 to 886 of the family's 1831-position model. Lineage: Eukaryota; Fungi; Glomeromycota; Glomeromycetes; Entrophosporales; Entrophosporaceae. The record is from RNAcentral.
GGGAGGUAGUGACAAUAAAUAACAAUACAGGGUUCUUUAGGAUCUUGUAAUUGGAAUGAGUACAAUUUAAAUCCCUUAACGAGGAACAAUUGGAGGGCAAGUCUGGUGCCAGCAGCCGCGGUAAUUCCAGCUCCAAUAGCGUAUAUUAAAGUUGUUGCAGUUAAAAAGCUCGUAGUUGAAUUUCGGGAUUGACACAUCGGUCGUGCCUUAAGGGGCAUGAACUGGUGUAGUCAGUUUCUCACCUGCUGGAGAACCGCGAUGUCCUUAAUUGGGUGCCGCGAGGAACCAGGACCUUUACUUUGAAAAAAUUAGAGUGUUUAAAGCAGGCAUUUUGCUUGAAUACAUUAGCAUGGAAUAAUAAAAUAGGACGGAUGGUUCUAUUUUGUUGGUUUCUAGGAUCGACGUAAUGAUUAAUAGGGAUAGUUGGG